UAACACGUAGGAUGCAAGCGUUAUUCGGAUUUACUGGGCGUAAAGCGCGUGUAGGCGGUUGGGAUAGUUGGAUGUGAAAGCUCCCGGCUUAACUGGGAGAGGUCGUUCAAAACUUCCCAACUAGAGUUUGGUAGAGGAAAAUGGAAUUCCGGGUGUAGUGGUGAAAUGCGUAGAUAUCCGGAGGAACACCAGUGGCGAAAGCGAUUUUCUGGACCGAUACUGACGCUCAGACGCGAAAGCUAGGGUAGCAAACGGG
This 256-nucleotide ribosomal RNA is filed under the name uncultured bacterium. RNAcentral describes it as "partial 16S ribosomal RNA". It matches the Rfam family "Bacterial small subunit ribosomal RNA", at positions 521 to 776 of the family's 1533-position model. The record is from RNAcentral.